This 70-nucleotide transfer RNA is filed under the name Bacillus sp. FJAT-26390. It matches the Rfam family "tRNA". Rfam says of the family: Transfer RNA (tRNA) molecules are approximately 80 nucleotides in length. Their secondary structure includes four short double-helical elements and three loops (D, anti-codon, and T loops). Further hydrogen bonds mediate the characteristic L-shaped molecular structure. tRNAs have two regions of fundamental functional importance: the anti-codon, which is responsible for specific mRNA codon recognition, and the 3' end, to which the tRNAs corresponding amino acid is attached (by aminoacyl-tRNA synthetases). tRNAs cope with the degeneracy of the genetic code in two manners: having more than one tRNA (with a specific anti-codon) for a particular amino acid; and 'wobble' base-pairing, i.e. permitting non-standard base-pairing at the 3rd anti-codon position. Lineage: Bacteria; Bacillati; Bacillota; Bacilli; Caryophanales; Bacillaceae. The record is from Rfam by way of RNAcentral.
GCGGACAUGGUAUAAAGGUGUGCUGCAGCAUUCCAAGCUGCUGAUGUGGGUUCGAGUCCCGCUGUUCGCU